Molecule: long non-coding RNA, 2432 nt
Organism: Mus musculus (house mouse)
Lineage: Eukaryota; Metazoa; Chordata; Mammalia; Rodentia; Muridae
Product: predicted gene 16246
Exons: 3
Source: RefSeq, a predicted model, not a curated record
AUCAAAGGACUGUCCUCACUGGAAGCACUUUGUUUGAGAUGGUCCCUGUUUCAUUCAGCACUGGGUAAGACAGACCAGCUGUGCUCUGCUUCUUGCUGGAGGAGCAUUGGUAUGCUCUGUACAGCAUCCGGCUUUCUGAGGCUCCGGGAACUCUAACCCAGAUCCUGAGCCUGCAUAGCUAGUAUAUCACCCUGUGAGUCACCUCCUUGGUGCAACCAGUACUUCUAGCCUUGGAGUAAUUUUAUCCCCAAAAGUCAUUCUGCAGUAUCUAAAGACAUUUUUAAUUGUUAAAACCAUAGCCUCCUUGGAACAAGUGGAAAGUGGGAAGGGGGCCGGAAGUGCUGCUAACUAGGGAAGUACAGCUUCUGCCAACAGCUAGCCAGUCUAUCACUUCAAGGAUUCUGAGAGGGAUGCAGAUGAACCGAUGCAGACGUGCACUGUACAGAAGACAGAGGGCCAUCUUCAGAGAAAAGGUUUGACAAGAAUGCAGAGCACUCUGUAAUACUUCAAGUUACUUAUUAACUCUGUCCUCCUGAUAGCUAAUCAAUGGCAUUGCAGAGAGUCAAAUUUGGUGCACUAAACUGCCCCCUUGCCUAAAGCCAAGUCUUGGCUAUGAGUCACAAUUGCACAUGUGUACAAAGAGAAAGACAAACUCUAUCCGGGAUAUUUUUCCAGCAAGUUGAGGUCUGAAACUGGACAGUAUGGCAUGAUGCUCUAUGUGAUUUGGUUCUAAACCGUCUUUAGUAUGGUUUCUCUCAGAAAUUGGCUGCAGGAAUCACAAAACCCAGCAGGAGUACCUAACCCAGACCAAACAGGGAUCGCAGAGGAGCUGAAGGAUGACAUAAAUGUCUUGGCUAAGGGUGAAAAGUAAGAAUUCAUCAAGAAGAAGCAGGGCAGUCAAACAAGAGCAAGUUGUGCAUACUGUCAUGGAGGUGUGAGAAAUCUAUGCUGGCAGCAUUUGUCUUUCAUGGCCUUACAUAGUUGUCUGGUUCUAAGAGACUUUAUAGAUCAGUGGUUCUCCACCUACGCAUGUGACCACCUUAGGGUCACAUAAAAGAUAUCUGCAUACCAGAUAUUUACAUUAAGAUUCAUAACGGUAGCAAAAUUACAGUUAUGAAGUAGCAACACAAUAUUUAUGGUUGAGGUCACCAUAAUAUGAGGGACUGCAUUAAAGAGUUGCAGCAUUAGGAAGAUUGAGCAUCACUGCUUUAGAUUCUUAGAAGUAGGCAAGGGAAAGAUUUCUGAGACACAGUAGUACCCUCCCUUCUCUGACCCCAAGAAAAAUCCCACAUUGUAGUUGCUGGGAAGUCAGUGGAGAACACAAAAGGUCUGGUUGAGGACCCAGAAUCCCCAGCCACUCAGGGAAUAUCUAGAGCAUGCAAUUCUGUCUUCUUCCUGCUAGAUACUGUGCUAGGUGUUCGGGUUAGGAACAGAAUAUAAGAAUAGUUUCCCCAGCGUUAGCAAAGACCCACGUGGCUGAUAUGGGGUGGACCCAGAGGCCACUCCCUCUCACCAGCAGUCUACUCUGUACUCAAGGUGCCAACACAAAUCCUCGAAUAUCAACAAGAUGCAUUGAUUAAUUUAUAAAUAUUUUCAAAUGUUAAACAAAAGUACAAAAAAAGAUUGUAAUCCUUAAGAAGUUCUAAAAUUAGUGACAAAAUUUCUCCUAAAAAUUUCAAAUAUCAGUGGUUUUCAAACAAUUUUAUAUUCCUUUGAGAAAAUCUGUUAGGAUAAGCUGAAGUUUUCUGGUAUUAACAAAAGUCAUGAAACCAAACAUGGGAUUUUUGUUGUCUUUUAAUAUCUCUACCUGUUUUGGUAACUAUUUGCUAAAAGGAAUUUGUACUCAAGAGUGAAAAAAAUACAACUACUAUUCAUCUCUUCAAAGUGACAAACCAAUCUAAAAGACAUUUAAUUUAAAUACAACAGGGAAUUUAAUGUAAUUUGGGGAAGAUUGAUUGACCUUAUAAUAUUUUAUUGUAGCAAAAAAAGGUUAGGUUAUUUCAAUAAGCAAAACUUAAUUUCCUUUAUGCAAGAAAUCCAGGUAUAAUUUGCUUGCUUUGCUUUUGCAGAGGCCCUAUAACCGUUUUGUUCUGAGUUAAGCCACAAUCCAGUAUGAAAAUGGUUCUUGAGAAUAAACUAUAGGUAGAUACCAUCUAGUAGCACUUAUUUAGGUUGUGAAAUAUAUAUAUAAUCUUGCUUGUUAAUUGAAGAAAAUAUGCUAUUUGAUAGGUCGAAUAUGGGAAUAAUAUAGCAGGAAUUGAGUUUGGUUGAAGAGCUAAAAACUGGUAUAAUAUGUUACUUAUUUUAUUGUUUGUUCUUUUAACUAGUAGGAGUUUACAAAUUACCAACAUUAAGAUAUAGCAACCCUAUAGGUGGAACAACAAUAUGAACUAACCAGUACCCAUAGAGCUCGUAUCUCUAGCUGCAAAUGU